RNAcentral lists this long non-coding RNA (828 nucleotides) under Homo sapiens (human). Its description in RNAcentral is "non-protein coding lnc-CFI-3:1". The stretch from base 15 to 130 matches the Rfam family "mir-492 microRNA precursor family". The record is from RNAcentral. Lineage: Eukaryota; Metazoa; Chordata; Mammalia; Primates; Hominidae.
CCCAGGCCCUCCCAUGACUACAGCCACUACUACGGGACCAUCGAGUACCUGUGCUACAAGAUUCUUGGUGACAUCAUUGAGAAUUCCAGGAUUGUCCUGCAGAUCAACAAUGCCUGUCUGGCUGCAGAUGACUUCUGAACUAAGUAUGAGAGGGAGCAGACUCUGCUCGUGAGUGUGGAGGCUGACAUAAUGGCCUGCACGGGGUGCUGGUUGAGCUGACCCUGGCCAGGACCGACCUGGAGAUGCAGACCGAAGGGCUGAAGGAAGAGCUGGCCUACCUGAAGAAGAACCAUGAGGGGGAAAUUAAUGCCCUGAGGGGCCAGGUGGGAGGCCAGAUCAGUGUGGAAGUGGAUUCGGCUCUGGGCGCUGAUGCCACCAAUAUCCUGAGUGACAUGCAGAGCCAAUAUGAGGUCAUGCCAAGCAGAACCGAAAGGAUGCUGAACGCUGGUUCACCAGCUGCACUGAGGAACUGAACUGGGAAGUUGUUGGCCACAUGGAGCAGCUCCAGAUGAACAGGUCCCAGGUCACCGACCUGCGGUGCAACCUCCAGGGUCUUGAGAUUGAGCUGCAGUGGCAGCUUAGCAUGAAAGCCGCCUUGGAAGGUCACCAGCACGCUUUGGACCACAGCUGGCGCAGAUCCAGGCGCUGAUCAGCAGUAUUGAAGCUCAGCUGGGCGAUGUGCGAGCUGACAGUGAGAGGCAGAAUCAGGAGUACCAGCUGCUCAUGGACAUCAAGUUGUGGCUGGAGCAGGAGCUCGCCACCUACCUCAGCCUGCUCGAGGGCCAGGAAGAGCACUACAAUAGCCUGUCCACCUCCAAGAUCCUCUAA